RNAcentral lists this ribosomal RNA (387 nucleotides) under Peltophryne guentheri (Guenther's Caribbean toad). Its description in RNAcentral is "partial 12S ribosomal RNA". It matches the Rfam family "Bacterial small subunit ribosomal RNA", at positions 785 to 1384 of the family's 1533-position model. The record is from RNAcentral. Lineage: Eukaryota; Metazoa; Chordata; Amphibia; Anura; Bufonidae.
CCCCACUAUGCCUAAUCGUAAACUUUUACUUACAUUAAAUCGCCAGGGAACUACGAGGUAAGCUUAAAACCCAAAGGACUUGACGGUACCCCAUAUCCCCCUAGAGGAGCCUGUCCUAUAAUCGAUAAUCCACGUUUAACCUCACCAUUUUUUGUUAAUCAGCCUGUAUACCUCCGUCGCCAGCUUACCACGUGAGCGAUUUUUAGUGAGCUUAAUGUUUUUACACCAACACGUCAGGUCAAGGUGCAGUAAAUGAAAUGGGAAGAGAUGGGCUACACUUUCUAUUCUAGAAGAAACGAAAAACUAUUUAUGAAAAUCUAGUUGGAAGGCGGAUUUAGCAGUAAAAAGAAAUCAACAUGUUCAUUUUAACCCGGCACUGGGGUGUGU